RNAcentral lists this long non-coding RNA (701 nucleotides) under Capsicum annuum. RNAcentral's name for it is "long non-coding RNA (CANN_LNC008931)". The record is from RNAcentral. Lineage: Eukaryota; Viridiplantae; Streptophyta; Magnoliopsida; Solanales; Solanaceae.
GCCAGUGAUCCGGAUCUUAAUAAUAAAACAUAUGUGAAAGAAAAUAUAAACUUAAUUAAUUCAAACAUAAUUUACAAACUUGGGAGAAAAUUACAAAGACCUAUGUAACUACUAUUUACAUGCCUUAAGGAAGAAGUGAGGUUUCCCUUUCGAGAGUCCCCUGAAAACUUGACAGCUAUCGAAAAAUGAAGAACUAAGAAAACUUUUCACACUUUUCACACACUCCUCUUUUUUUUUUAAGUAACUUACGAACUUUGGAAACUAAGAACUUUAAGAAAAGCUAAGAACUUUAUGAAAACUUUCUUACUCUUGAUUUUUUCUCUCUCUUUGGCACAUGUUUUUGUCUUUCAUAAGGGGAGUUAUUUAUAGGCAUUUUUGGACUUCAAAUCUUACUUUUUUGUGGAUUUCAAAUCCUUUGUAAAGACUUUAGCAAGACUUAUCAACUUGGGUGGUCCCGACGGCUAAUAUCUUUCUUAAUUCUCCUCCGUUCAUUUAUUUAUCUGAUAUUGCAUACGUCUGCUAUUUUGUCUUUUGUAGAUAGCGUCAUUGCUUACGUAUCCAAAUUAUAUAAAGCCUCUGAGUCAAACUCCAUUCCUGAAUCAUCGUCUGCAUUUGGGUCUUGGACAAAUUGAUCCAUGGCUGAGUUGUAUUCUCGUUCAUAUUCAUCACUAUCUCCGUCUGAUAAUCCUAGUCUUGUUCCA